UUCAGCUGUGUGACUGGAAGGGGUGGAGCCUGGCUGCACCUCUCUUAGACCUCAUUUAAGGGCUGAUUGCCAUUGGGAAGGGUCUCUCUCUGGAGGUUCUUCCUUGGAAGAGUUCUCCCCUGUGAGCUGUGAUCUUCAGAGAUGGACUACAUGGAACAUCUUCAAAGAGCCCAGCAUCCACUGGAAGAGCACGGUGCUGAUUUACCACACGUGAAAUCGAUGCUGCCUGCUCCCAGCGCCGUCUCAAGUCCCAGCACAUUUCUAAUUGCCUGUUUUCUGUUGGUGAGCUCUCUUCUUGCCCUCUGUGCUGUGACCUACUUCAAUAGGUGAAUUCUGAGGGUGCAGAUGAUGUCUCUGAGAUAACUGAACUCCUGCCAUCUAUUGGAAGCUGCAGGAGGAGGGGAGAGGUUCCAGCCACUGCUGCAAGAUCCAGCCAUGGGGCUGGGGAACCGACCUGCCUAACACUCCGUGCAACAGCUUUCCUGCUGCAGGCACUGAGUGAUGUGUGUUCUCCCACCCCGCUUCUCCCCGUGUCACCACAUCUGGCCUGGCAUCAUCCUGCUCCAGACAUAACACUCCCAGGUGAAGAUCUCACCUGAAUAAGGAACCAACAUUGCUCUCCCUUCCAGGGCACUCAGCUCACCCCCAUUCCCACAGCACUUCCCAUGGAUACAAAGAGAUGCUUUCUUGCUCCAGCAAAGGCUCUGCUGGAUUGGCAGGAGCUCUGUGACUGGGGAAUUACCUCCGUGUGCCUCAGCCUUGACUUGGUUUUCAUAUCUUGCUCCAGGCAGUACAGAAGUACCUGUGAAAUGCAACGGAUGCAAUCCCCAAACGGUCACUUGAAGCUUUUCUCCCCAGGGAGGUGAGAAAGGCUUGGGCUAAGGUGGGCUGUCUGAGGGCAAGCAGGAGGGCAUUGUAUGGCAACCCAUGGGAGCAGAGGCCAAGGCACAGUGACUGCCCCACCUCCCUGUGCAGCUGAGCCAGUGCCUCACUUUUUCUGAGAAGAAAUUAUUCCUAAUAUCCAACCUGAUCCCAUCCUGGCACAACUCAAGGCCAUCACCUCUUGUGUCUACGGGACCCUGCUGGGGCCAGGCAGGUCAGCCUGCUGCCUCCAGAGCUUCAGAUUUGGAGAUCCCACCCCAAAGAUCCUUCUUGCUCUAUCCCAGAUGGAUGCAGAUAUCACAGUAAACAACGACUUGGAGGCAAGUCCACUGCCAUAAAUCAGCAUUUUUCUGAGUGCCAAGGAGGACGACAAGCCUCGGUGUAAGAGCUCUGCACCAUGAAUGGAAAUUACUCAGUGCUGACGCCUGAAAGGACACCAGCAGCCCCUGUGCUCUGUGCUGAAUUUUACUUCGAUUUCCACUUCAUCUACCAGGCUGUCUGCCUGAUGGGAGAGCAGUCUAUUACAAAGGGGAGAAUCCUGUUUAGGUCAAAAGGAUGCAUUUUUAGGAAUGCAGGUUUCAAGUCCAAGCCUGCUGGUGAUCUCUCCUUGCAGUCUCUGUUAUGUACUGAAAGAUUCAUUAAGAAGACACGGAAAGGGAGAACCAUGAUGGGAGAUGCGAUGAAAAGCCUAUUCGUUAUCCUAGCAACAUGAGACACAGUUCACUAGAUUGGUUUCCGUUCUAAAGAGCAAAACCAAAUCCUUCACUCCUUGCCUUUAAUGGCGGUGUUGAUGGAGACAGCCAACAAUUUCCUCUCCUCAUCGAUUUUGAUUAUGAAUUCUCAUCUGGAUACGGAGUCCAAUUUUUGUAAGAAACAUUUUACCCAUGGGACAGCGGAUGUCAGACUGAACUGAGCUCUUCCUCACCGCUGUCCUGUGGGUGCUCUUUGCUCCAGUUAGCUGCCUACAGCAGACUUCAAAUUAAUUGCAACGCCGUGGAUCAACCUUUCCCAUUUUUUUUUCUUUUCUCCCACAUGCUGCCACGUGUCCAUGGACAGCCCGUGUUUUCUGGUAAGCUUUCUGGCAGCCUUUGAGCCUCACGCUGAACACAUGAGAGCAUUUAGCAAGCUACAUUUCACUACAAAACGUGUUCCUGGGUAGCGCUUGCACAUAAGCAUGUCAUUGAUGUUCCCCAAGCGCCAGCCUUGGCAGAUGUGUAACAGGAGAGUGGCUGCUAAUGCUCCAGCUUCCCUCCAGGAUGCUGCCUGGGCUCAGGGGGGAGCAAUGCUGCACAUGUGUCAGUCUUGCAAGUGUGUGCUGCUGAACGCUGGGUGGUCUGUCCUGAAAUGGGAAGAGCUGGGAGACAGUUCUGACUGGGAUCAUCUCCUCCCACACUUGCUUGUGUCCAGCAGCCAUCACCUGGAGCACUGUGUCCAGAUGUGGAGUCCUCAAUACGGGAGACACAUGGACCUGUUGGAGUGUAUCCAGAGGAGGGCCAAAAAAAGGAUCCAAGGGAUGGAACGCCUCCCUGUGAGGUCAGGCUGAAGAUCUCGGGCUGUUUAGCCUGUUCAGCAGAAGAUAAGACUGUGUGGAGACUUGAGGGCAGCCUGUCAGUGUCAAAAGGGGGCUGAAAGAAUGCACAGGCUCUUUUUUUGGGUCUGUUAUGAUGUGACAAGGGGAAAUAGUUUCAGAUUAAAAGAGAGGAGAGUUAGAUUGGAUAUAAGGAAGAAAUUUUUCGUGAUAACUGUGGUGAGGCAUUGGCACAGGUUGUCCAGAUUAGUGGUGGAUGCUCUAUCUUUGGACACACUCGAGGUCAGGCUGGACAGGGCUCUGAGCACCUGAUGGAGCUGUGGGUGUCUCUGUUCAUUGCAGGAGAGUUGGACCAGAUGGCCUUCAAGGGUCCUGCCCAACUCAAAUGAUGACUCUAUGAUUCUAAGUACAAAGACAGCUUCGUAGGGUGGUAGGAUGGGUACCCUUGGAGGAGCUUCUUGCAUAUCACAUCUAUGGGAGGAGGAGAAAUCAGUUGUGUUUUCCUUUACUGUUACCUAGCUUCCUUUCAUCACCCCAGCCCAUGCUGUUUGGCAUUCCAGCCCUUAUCCCACCUUGUGCCAUCUGCUCUUCUGGACCCUUUUCAGCCUGCACACCACAGAUUCUCCCUCCUGCCUUUCCUCCCUGGUUCUACAUUGCUUUUCUCUCUGGUUACCUCACAUCCCCAAGGAUCUACCUUCCAGUCACAAACAGAUCUCUACAGGAAGGGUGUAAGCUGGCAUUUUCAGCAGUUAAUGGUUUGGACUAACAGGGGGGGAAUUUCCAAGACUCCACCCUCAACCUCAGCUGCUCUGCCAGACUGUGCGGGGUUUUUCCCUGGGGACACGGAAGCUCCUCAAGGUUGUAAAAUUGUUUAAAUAUGAUGAGGAGAAAGCAAGUUUUUUGCUUACUUCACUUUUCAAGGAAAGCUGAAGCCUACCAGGCGCUCGGCCAAGGGAGCCACAGCCCGAAGAAUUAAAAUCCAGCAAAAUCAUAAGCAGGUUUUUGUACGGCAGAUUGUCAGGAAACUGGAAAUAGCAAUGUUGGUUCCUGUCCCACGUAAUAACAAACAGUAAUAAUUGUAUCCCCUAUGCGUGUUCACAUUUGCUCUUUCUCUCUCAGAAACCAGCAUUUAAAAAGAUAGAUUAUGAAGAUACGUUCAGAAAGUAAGAAUUCUGAAUGUAUUAUUAUUAUAUAUUAUUCAUGUAAUGGCAACACCCUAAGUUGUCUCAGCACUGUGCAGAAAGAGAGGAAGAUAAAGCCUGCGGCCCAGAGAAACUUCUAAAUGAAUGGAAAUAAGGUUUGGAUCUGUGUGACAGUUUGUGUGUGUGCGUAUAAUUUUUAAGCAUUACUGAAGAAACUGUAGGGGGAAAAUUGAAUUAUACAUCAGCUUAUUCACCAACAGGAAAAAAAAAAAUGGGCAAGCCUGCAUGCUCUUGAUAACAUUUUAAUAAUUUACAAACUCAAAUUUCACCCUGGGAGUGACUUUCAUGAGAAGUAAGAAAUCCUGUGACUGUAAACACGGCUGGAAGUCGGCGGAAAAUCAGGGCAGAAAAUCCCCGCUGCAUGGGGAAGGGGGAUGGCUUGUGCUGGCUGUAGGGAUGGGUGCCCUGUAGGAAGGGAUGUUGGGAUGGAGCAAAAUACCAGGGCCUUCAGCCCUGUGUUGACAUUCCUGCUGCCACCUUGUGCCUGUCAGUUCUGUUCUUCUGAGGCAUGCUGGUGCUCCAUGUGCAAGGUGCAGAAGUUCACUGCAAAUGCAAGGAGGAAGGUUGGUGCAUCUCCAGCACUGCUCCCACCACCCUUGGCAAUGCUUCCACUCAAUCACAGCUACUCUCCGUUUGCUUUCUGCUUCUUGGGCUGAAUCUUGGUGAUUUUGGAAGCCCAGCAGGCAGCAAAACCAGGAGUUGGGAUACCAGGGGCAGUGUGAAUAUGGAAGAACCACCUGAUAGCUAGCACCAAGCUGCCCACGUCCUCCUGUAGGCACCUCCCCACCAGUCCUGCUGAGGACAGGCAGCAGGUAUUUCUGUUCAGAGAGCUCUGUUGGAGAAAGCCUCCUGUGAAAGCCAACUUGGCAGGGGAAACUGGGGGCUUCGUUUGGCUUCACAGAUUGCUUCUUUCUCCUUCCCCAUUCAUGUGGAUGCCACACACACUGACAGCCCUCUCUCCCCUCUGCUUGGUGUCCCUCCUGCAUGUCCCCAUCAUGUUGCUGGGGCAGUUCCAGACAUGCAGCCUGCACAGGUUCUUGUUGAAUGCAAUGUGCUCUGCCACGCUUUGUCCUCCUUCCAAGGAAGCCAUGGCACAGCAUCCCUUGGCCAAGUUCUCCCACCCUGGCAUGGGGACUGCUGUAGCAGGAAGGAGGAGCAGAUCCAGCCUGAGAGGGCAGCAAGGCUGGAAUAUCGGCCAAGGAGAACCACCUGCAUCUUCCACCCAGCAGAGAGUGGCCAUGUGCAGGGAGAAUUCAAGGUCACAGCCAACCCAGCUCUCUGCUUUGCUAACUGUGGAGUUCCCUUCAUUCAUUAGCAACGGCAUUAUUAGCAGUGUCCCUCAGAGUACUGUUGGAUGCUGGAAUCUCUUCCUGCCCUGUAGAAAGGCCGCUGGCUUUAUUCAUAGACGAUGGCUGACAUUCCCCAUGCCUCCUGCUCAGGGAACAGAGCAGGACCUGGGCUCUGGGAGCCACUAGAUGUCAGGGUUACUCCGCCACAGCCACACUGCCUGCCAGAUGUGGCACAGCUGGCCCUGCGUGGGGUGAGAGGGGACCCCCAGGGUGCUGGAAGGCAUACAGGGAACAGGGGAAAGUCCAGAGAAAAGUAGGAUGAAGAACCUGUCCCCAUGCAGGACAGCAUGGAGCACUCCAUCCCUCCCUCUCUCCUGGAAACAACAGGCACAUCUGGUGUAUCCAAUGAACAAACCAGAUGUGCUGGAGGAGCCACACCUCAAAUGGUCAGAAGCUGGUUUCCCAGUCAGGGAAGUGCACUUAUAGCCAGGGUGGGUUUGGAUUAGCAGAUGGCCAUACAUCAAACCAUCACCUCAAUCCCCAUCUCGCCAUUGCUGGGACUGUGGGUACCGUGAGCCCACCCUGCUCCUUGGCUGGGAAAACUCAGCACCACUCAACCCCCUCUUCCCUGCUUAAUUUCGUCAACACCAAAACCUGCUGUUUUGAGGGGGAAAAACAGUCAGAAAACGCUCAGAUUUUACAAAGACCUCAUUUUUUUCUUGUACUUAAAAGCAGUGUAAAACGUGGCAUUUAGGUGAAACUGCACCAUUUUCUGAAAAGUACCAGUUGUUUUAUUAGAUUUAUUCUAAUAGUGCAAGCUGAGUUCAUCUCAUAAAUAAGGAUUAUAAAAAGCUCAUUUGAAUGUAUUAGAAACUAAAGGAACUUACUUUAUUAUAAGCAGGAGAAAUGCAGCAAUGUCAGCAUGAACAGAAGAGCUUCUCUUUCCUUGGAGAAAGCUAUUGCCCAGGCUGGAGUUAAACAGCAGACAUGGGAGUAUCUGGGUGGUGGCAGGUCAGCUGCUUUAUGGCUUUUAUUAUCCAGCAUUGGCAUCCAGAUACUUUAGGAAAUGGUCUCAGACCCUCAGUGUAUGUAUAUUUUCCUGCCCCACUUAGAGACUCAUGCUGGCCUCUGGAAGAGAUAUGCAGCUUCAUAUCACUCACAAAACCUUUUCAGGCAUCGUUAUGGCAAUGGUGGGCUUCUGACUACUCACUUAAUGCCUGAGCUUUCUUCAGUCUUGCAAUGUUCUUGGGUUGAAAGACUUUCUGUGGUGACAAAUCCCACAAACUAAUUACGCGGGGGAUGAAAAUUUAUUUUCCCUUUAUCAGUUUGAAUUUUCCACCUUUAUGGGAAAAUGGGUUAUUUAUUAGGAAAAGACAUCUCCAUGGCAUUUUGCAGUUACAGCCUCUCAGAUCACCUUUUCACUGGAAGAAUCAACAAUUAAAGUUGGCUCUGAGUUACAUCACUACUUAGUCAUGAUAGAUAUGCAAUUUCAUAGUUUUCAUUAUAGAAAAUAGGCACCAAAGUACAUCAAUAAACUACAUAAUGUGAAGGAAUACUGAUAAAAGCAUGCUAUUAGAUUCAUUAGUGCUAAUCAGAAAGAAAGCAUCUAUAGUUACUCAAUGAUAAUAUUCUGUAAGAAAAAAUGGUUUUCUAGUGUGACUGAUUUUCAGUGAUGUGGGAUGGCUGAGAAGGGAGUCUAAAAGCAAAUGUCAAACCUGCCUCACUCACAGAGCACUGCUGCUAAAGCAAGGAGAAAACCCUGAGAUGAGAUCAUAUGAUUAGCAUUUUUAUUGUAGAUGAGGUCAAGAGAGAGUAGAGUGGCAGCAGAUGAGGAGUAAGGAAUGGAGAAGAUGGUGAAGGCCUGGAUGAACAUUUAUGGAUAAGACAAGAAGGUUUCUUUGGAUGGGCUCCAAUUCAACAGUUUGUUGCCAUUUUAGAUUGAGGUACAGCUAAUGAAUUGGUCAUGGAAAAUGGCCGUGUUGUCUAACCAUGUGAAACUGGAGGGGAGAAAAGUUAAUGUAGAUCUCCCUCGCGUUCACCAUGGUAAAUCUAGGGAAACCUAAGAAACCAGCAAGCAACUUGCUGGGAAAAUUGGGGACCUCAAAGUUAGGAGGCAGUCUGGAAGCUGUCUGACAAGUAACGGGGAAAAUAUAUCUGCAAAAAAGCCUGGAUAUGACAGGAUGAGUAACCACCUCUAAAAAUAUAUGAGCAGUAAGCUGAGAACCCACAGAAGGGAUAGGAAAAUGACUGCUCAUCACAGAGAGGUGUGACACAGGACAGGGAAUGUACAGAGAAAAUGAAAAUUGAGAAGUUCAAACUGAACUGGAACUUGGAAAUUAUAUUAAAACCUCUAACAGGAGUCUGUCUCUAGAGCCUCAGUUCCUCUUUGUUCUUACCAUGUGUAGCUAGGGAUUGUAGUAAAUCUAAGUAGGACCAAAUAGAAAAUGAAUGUGUUUCUAGGGAUUACGUUGAAGAGUGAAAUGAAGGCAAAGUGGGUCUGCAGGGCCAGAAAUAAGCUGGAAGCAGAUUGAAAACCUCUGUGCAACCAGAUUGGUGGGAUGAGGUGGGAGACACCUGAACUCCAAGGCCCUUCCUGUGCUGCUGGAGGUCUCCCAGCAAGGUCUGGAUGUCCAUCUUGUUGGGGCAUCAUCCAAGCAGAUGCAAAGGCAGUGUCAGUGUGUUUGAAAGAGCAAAGCAGUGAUUGGAACAACUUCAGGCACAGCAGUGUGAGUGAAGUCCUAUGCACAGUUGUAGAGCAGGAGGGAAAAAAUGAUGAUUUGGAAGAACAUGGAAAACUGAGGAUGAGCAGAACAUAGAAAGCCUCCUUAUCAACUUUGCCUAAAGCUGAGCACUGGUGGUACCACACGGCAUUUUCUGGUGGUGAAGGAGUCCUGCAAAUCUGAUAAUAUGACAGCAGUGACUGUCCUCUGCUCCAAGCACUCUUCCCACCUCUUUGCUUUCAACAAAAGCCUGAUGUGCAGUGAGCCACGAGAUGUGCAUCUGGAAAUGAAAGCAAGGCUUGUUUAUACUUUCUCACAAACUCACCAGGGUCCCUCCCUCUGGCUGCUGACCCUUGGCAUGUGGCUGUGCCAUUCCAUUUCCCCGUGACACACACCACAGUCGGGCAUCACCUCGCUCCAUGGGUACCAGUGUCAGCUGGCACCACGGUGAGUUCAGCUCGAAGCCUGUUGGCCUAAUUGCAGCGGGGAGGACAGAUGUUGGCAGAGGCAUCUGAUUGAAAAGCAUACAGAAUUUAGCCAGACUGCAGGAUUUCUCUGUGGUAUGGACAAAUAUUGACUGGGGCUCCUUCCAACAGCCUCCUCUCUUAAUAGAUGCUCUAACAUCGAACACGAGCACUGACAAACUGGUGCAAUUACUCACCACGUUACUAAUCACACCAUUUCCCUCCCCUCGUUAUUGAUUUUGGAAGCAUUGUUUGAAAA
Molecule: long non-coding RNA, 8344 nt
Organism: Lagopus leucura (white-tailed ptarmigan)
Lineage: Eukaryota; Metazoa; Chordata; Aves; Galliformes; Phasianidae
Exons: 9
Source: RefSeq, a predicted model, not a curated record